AACGCCCGCAUCCUGGGCCAGGAUUUGUGCCGCCGCCGCUUCCAGAGUGAGAAGCAGAGCCCGGUUUGAGGCUGCCCAUCGUGCCCGCCUAGGAACGGCCCAGGCUUCUCGACCCCCUGGUGGCUGAGGAAACGAAAAUCGUGGUGAGACAUGGACCAGUAAUGUCUGGCGGCCCUUUGACAUGUGAGAGUCUCCAUCUUUCUCAAGGCCCUGCACAGAUCAGUACAGGAAGAUCACAGCACUGCACUCCUCACCCUGGAGGCCAACUGUAUGCCCAAAGGACACGAUUCUGCACCGUGCCAAAGGAACAGCGUGAGGAGGGCACAAAACGUUUACCAGAGAGGGGUACUCCAUCGGGAAAUUUCCCUGCAGGCACUGUCUUUAUGCCCAAAGAGAGGAUCCACACAGGUUCGCCAGGAUGCAAACCUGCACUCCA
Molecule: long non-coding RNA, 436 nt
Organism: Pipistrellus kuhlii (Kuhl's pipistrelle)
Lineage: Eukaryota; Metazoa; Chordata; Mammalia; Chiroptera; Vespertilionidae
Exons: 3
Source: RefSeq, a predicted model, not a curated record